Molecule: long non-coding RNA, 981 nt
Organism: Oryzias melastigma (Indian medaka)
Lineage: Eukaryota; Metazoa; Chordata; Actinopteri; Beloniformes; Adrianichthyidae
Exons: 3
Source: RefSeq, a predicted model, not a curated record
GAGCUAAAGUUUUCUGGACUGUCCACUCACCCGGAUUCGUCUCAUCGCAGCCACGAUCUCCACCCGGCUAUUCGGCCGCGUUACAUCCAGACUCCCGAUGUACUGAGGUGGAGAAGGAGAAACGUGACAGGUGCCUCAAGCUUCAAACUGCUGCCUUCUUUCAAAUGGACACUUCAAAAAUAGAUCAUACAGUGGAGGAGCUCAGGUUAAUGUGGUGUGAGAUGGAGGAAGCUGCUGUCAGCUAUUGCACUUCUGCUCUGACUCCACAGGAUGGAGACAUUGAGCUGCUGCAGCACACACUCCCUGGACCAAGAUCCCAAAGUGUCAGAAAGUCUGGUAAAAAGAAACAAAGCACACAAAAAUACUACAAUGAGAUGAAAACAAAGACAGAAAAAUUCUUCCUCUCAAAGCUAUAAUAGAGUUUCAGCUAAAGUUUGAUUAAAAUACAGAGUUGUGUGAAACUAUUUUUGUGGAGUAUUUUUUUUUUGUUUGUUUUUUGUGUCUGUUUUCACUUCCUCAUCUGGUCAAACUUUUCAGUUUCCUUCAAACAACAUCCCUUUUGCUUCUUUAAGGACACCAGCUUAACCGUUUUUUGGUUUUCCUUUUGUUUCAGAUGUCUGUAAACAAGUAUUGCUGAAGUUACAAUCAGCAGGCACUUUUUUUUUUUUAUUUGUCCUGUCCAACAGAUACGGGCCUCACUUUUGGCCAGAAAGGUUUUGCUAAUUUUCAAAAAUAACGGCAAGAUGAACCCAUCUAUUGUUAUUCAUUUUUCUAAAUGUCUUCUUGCUGUAUUGAAAGAAUAAAAAAAAGAUAAACCAUUUAUUUAUAUAUACAGUUACAUCAUGUUACCAUUGUUUGUUUCAAAUUUGAGACAGUGCAGCUAAGUAAGGUGAUUUAUUCAUGAACACUCGUCAAUAUUUUUGUAUCUUCAAAAAAAUAACAUUGUUAUGAGCAAAAACUUCCCAAAUAACCCAAUGUAUC